Molecule: long non-coding RNA, 1595 nt
Organism: Gopherus evgoodei (Goodes thornscrub tortoise)
Lineage: Eukaryota; Metazoa; Chordata; Testudines; Testudinidae
Exons: 2
Source: RefSeq, a predicted model, not a curated record
GGCGGAAGCGGCAGCAGACCAGCCUGCCACUCCACUGACCUCAGGAACUAAAUGAGUCCCAUUCACCUCAGGAACUAAAUGAGAAAGUUUUCCAAUAGACAUUCAAAACCACCACCAAAUGAGACCCACUUCUCACUGCAUAUUUGACCAACAGAUGGGAGCUGUGAGAUGGCUGCCCUGCCUACCAGAGGCUACAGGACACCUCCACCACUGCUGUAAGGAAGAGAGAUGCCAGGUCAGGUAAGUGUCUCCAUCAAAUUUCACCACACGUACAAAUAUUUGAUCAAUGAACUACUGUUUAUUUGAAGUAACCAUUUACCAGAAUACUGAAAAAACAGAUGGGGGAAAUGAAGAUAAGAAAGGGGUGACUGGCAUCCUGCAAACACUUAUACAUGCCAUCAGUUUUAUGCACAAGUAAUCCUAUUGAACUCAAGUGGACUAUGUGUGUGUGUACACACUUGCUGGACUGGGGUUUCUAUAAUAAUUGUAUAGUAUAUUUGAAAUUGCCUUAGCAUUAUAUAUAAACUAUUAGCAGUUCUUGAAGAAAAAAUUGUGCUGGGUCAUUCUUCACGUUUUCUAUACAGUCAUUUACAGUGCAAGUAGUGAACUUCAGACUAGCUGGAGAAAUAAAAUUUAGACAAAACAUUAGUACCUUUUAAACUCUGCUAAUACUACUUUGCAUUUUUGUUGCUUUUUCUUGUUUCUUUGACAUCACAAAAGUAUCCUAAAAUAUUUAAAUUGUUUGUAUUGCCUUAUAUAAAUACACAAAUUGAAUUCAAGAAAUAUAUUCCUAGCCAAAUAUUGUCAUUUAUUAUUAUUCAGAAUGUGGCAGCACCCAGAAGCUUCAACCAAGACUAGUUCCCCAUUGUGCUAAGAAAUUUAUAAAUACGUAGGAAGUCUGAGACCCUACCUCAAGGAAUUUAUACUCUACAGGCUCUAUCCUGUGCCAGCUGAAGUCAAUGCAAAAUUCCCACUAUUUUCAGUGGUGCAGGAUGCAAAGGUCAUUGCAGGAUCAAGGUCUGAAACUCAAUCCACUCAUUUGAACCAUAUAGUAGUCACCAUUACCUCUGCAAGUAAUUCAUGUUUCUGUGAUAUUCACAGUAUCCCUUUGAAUACUAACUACAGGGAAUACUAUGGACAUUGUGGUAUAAAUCUACUUGGAAAAGCCUCAUAAAACACGUUGUACUGGAAAUGUUGAGGGGGCAAUGUGUGGUAGGCUGGACUCUCUGCUGAUUGUGGGAUGACUGCUAAUGAAAUAAGUAUGUGCUGGGAUUGAUUUCAUUUCAGGUGGUGGAGGUGGGGGGAAAUGACUGGAUUCUGAGGUGACGUGCAAGGUGAUACAAAUAAUUCUCCUGAGGCUCAUCUAGACUCCCUUGUUCAUAGCCUCUGUACCAUUUUCAGAAAAAUGUCUGGAGUUUGAGGACACUCACUACAAUGCAGGAUCAGACCCCUAGUUGUAGUUAAAAGUGAUUCCACACAAAGCUCAUUGCAUGAUUUUUCAGUGUUUUAUGAAAAGAUUUUAUUAUAAUAGCUGUAGAUUUAACAAUGAGAAUCUAAAUUGCAAAUGGACAAUAAAAAAUGUUUUUCUGACCAAC